Molecule: long non-coding RNA, 322 nt
Filed under: Capra hircus (goat)
Lineage: Eukaryota; Metazoa; Chordata; Mammalia; Artiodactyla; Bovidae
Description: lncRNA (ENSCHIG00000002697.1)
Source: RNAcentral
ACCAGUUUCAGCUGCCCACAGGGAGUUACCUUCAACAUUCCAAAUUCCAGCAUCAAACUGAAUUUGCACUCUGUUCCCGCCACACCCACCAUCCUGGGGUCAGCACUGGCCUCUGGAGACCCCGCAUCUGGCCUUCAGGCCUGAGGCUGUGCUUCUGAAUCGUGAUUGGAGGAACAUCCUCUCUGAAAAUGUCAGCCUGAGAGAAAGAGGGAUGGAAAUUCAGAGAAUCUCCCCAGGACCAACCCCCAAGGGGAUGGAAAAGGAGAGGUGGAAAUUUAAGAGCAUGAUAAAGUAACUUGCAGUCAAACGACUAGGAAUUGGC